This is a long non-coding RNA of Gallus gallus (chicken), 727 nucleotides long. NCBI's taxonomy places the organism in Eukaryota, Metazoa, Chordata, Aves, Galliformes, Phasianidae. The record is from Ensembl.
AUUUGGAUGUCUUAGCACACACAGUGAAAGUGCUUUCCUUUGUAAAUAAGAGAAGGAACAGGCUGCCGAGCUUCUCAUCCUCCCCGCUCUCAAAAGGCAAUUGGUUCAUACAGACAGCCAAUCUGAGAAGGCUUCAGAGAAACAGGAUCUGAAAACCAGGCUUGCUGAUAAAAAAGAAGGAAACAAAAGGCAUGCCACUGUCAAGAAAGACAAUAGAGUCCUGCAGACUUCAUGGAAUGGUAACAGGGAGAAGAAGAGGACCCAAAUUAUUGCCCAAAGGAGAGGAGAGCCCUGGAUCUCCAAGUCUCCCCCUGCAGUGCGGAUAGGACAUCCAGGAGGAAAACUGGGGAUUCAUUAAGGACCUGAAGCUCCCAUUCCUUUAAGAUGCACUCAAGCAAGAUAUUGACUGACUGUUCUGCCUAAAGAGCUAAAAUAUCCUCCUCCUUUAUAAGCGGCAAAUUAUCACACUGGACAUUUUUUCAGAUGGACUUCCAGAGAACAUAAUAGUCUUGAGAUACCUCAUCCGACCUGAAUCCACAUCACAGCUCUGAGAGGUGAAACCUUGUAAAAUCCGUGAGUCAAAUUCCUUCCUGCAAUACAAACUUCUUUCCUCAGAUGAGUUACAGAGAAGAAACCCGAGGACAGAAUUCAACUCCAGUAGGAAAAGAAUUUUAACAGUAACGAAACAAGCAACAAAACAUCAGGGCAACAUCAGGGCAUUUAAGAA